Long non-coding RNA from Mesocricetus auratus (golden hamster), 1024 nucleotides. RefSeq lists it as uncharacterized. The record is from RefSeq and is a predicted model, not a curated record. Lineage: Eukaryota; Metazoa; Chordata; Mammalia; Rodentia; Cricetidae. The transcript is spliced from 4 exons.
UGCCGCCUCCGCGCCUUUAAAGCGCUGCGCGUGCCCGCCGCCGCGCGCCCCCACACGUGACAGCGCGCCCCCGCCUCGUGCGAGCGCUCGCAAGGCCGAGCGGCUCCGCGGCCUCCGGGGAGGAAUCGCAUCCCUGUGCAGCUAGUCGAUGGCCUCUGACCCCGCGCUGCUUGCUCCUGCUAUCAGCUGCAUGCUGUACUCACCCCCUGAACAGUCUCUCCUGACCCAGUCCUCCAGGACUCACUCUGAUGCCAACAUCUGCGUCACAGGCUUCCGAAGUUUCUCCAGCCAGACAAGGUCCCUUGAGACACAUUUGCCACUGCCAGAGGUGGUGAAGUGACUCCAGCUGCCUGGACAGGGAAGGCCAGACAAGGCCAGGCAUGUGUCCUGUGGCAAGUGGAAGCUCACACCUUUGUCUUGGUUACACCCUCACAUCCUUACAGAAGAGAUCUGAGGAUGUUCUCAUGCCAGGGUGCUCUGCAUUCCAGCAAGUUAUUGGGACCCAUGUCCCAAGACAGAGGGCAGCUCUGCCACCUCAUGGUUAUAUGUGGUACUGCAUCAAUCCAAGCCUUGAAGUUGAGCAGAGGGCUGAUUGGGAGCCCAAAGCUGCCUGAACCCCAUCACCACCCAAGCCCACCAGGAGUCAAAAAAAACUGUGACUGAAGAGCCAGGUCAAGCCAACAGGAGCUUGCAGAGAGGGCAGAGACCAGAAAGCAGAGGGCAGAGAGUAUUGGAUUUGCUUGCACCCACCAAAGGGAACCCUGGUCACCUUCCCACGAGGAGAGGAAGAGACUCUUUUUACACCCACUGGAAGAAGUGAUGGGGAAAAUACAAUAUAAGAACACACUCAUCAACAGAAAAACAAAUAUGACACCACCAGAGUCUAGAGAGUCUACAACAGUAAGACAUUUCUAAAGGAAAUGGACGACUUCCUGCCAAAACUAAAUCAAGAACAGAUAAGCAAUUUAAACAGACCUAUAACACCUAAGGAAGUAGAAGCAGUCAUCAAAAGUCUCCAACCAAA